UACAGAGGGUGCGAGCGUUAAUCGGAAUUACUGGGCGUAAAGCGCGCGUAGGCGGCUUUUCAAGUCGAUUGUGAAAUCCCCGGGCUUAACCUGGGAACUGCAGUCGAGACUGUCUAGCUAGAGUAUGGGAGAGGGAAGUGGAAUUUCAGGUGUAGCGGUGAAAUGCGUAGAUAUCUGAAGGAACAUCAGUGGCGAAAGCGACUUCCUGGACCAAUACUGACGCUCAUGUGCGAAAGCGUGGGGAUCAAACAGG
Molecule: ribosomal RNA, 253 nt
Filed under: uncultured bacterium
Lineage: Bacteria
Description: partial 16S ribosomal RNA
Rfam family: Bacterial small subunit ribosomal RNA
Source: RNAcentral